AGGAGACGUAAGACAGCAGACGGCCCAAAGAUGAGGGACCAGGACCAUGAUGAGGAAGGAGAUGAGGAAGAGUCACCACAUAGAAAAAACAAGGUGAUCUACAGUUACCUAAAAGGACGUGAAAAUAGCCAAGAAGAGAUGAGAAUCAGCUCCAUCAAGAGAAGACCAGGGACAGCACCAGAUGGCUCUACACUACACACACUCUACAUUUAUUCAUCUGACAGAGGACGAGGACGCUCCAUUUAAAGAGGCUGGGAGACGAAGAGGCAGAGAAGACUCUGGGCAGAUUUGCAAAAUGUUUAACAUGC
Scomber japonicus (chub mackerel) is the source of this 308-nucleotide long non-coding RNA. RefSeq lists it as uncharacterized. The transcript has 3 exons. The record is from RefSeq and is a predicted model, not a curated record. Lineage: Eukaryota; Metazoa; Chordata; Actinopteri; Scombriformes; Scombridae.